This 322-nucleotide ribosomal RNA is filed under the name uncultured Lachnospiraceae bacterium. RNAcentral describes it as "bacterial SSU rRNA". It matches the Rfam family "Bacterial small subunit ribosomal RNA", at positions 28 to 339 of the family's 1533-position model. The record is from RNAcentral. Lineage: Bacteria; Bacillati; Bacillota; Clostridia; Lachnospirales; Lachnospiraceae.
GAUGAACGCUGGCGGCGUGCCUAACACAUGCAAGUCGAACGGGGUUAAAGAGAAAUUUUCGGAUGGAUCUUUAACUUAGUGGCGGACGGGUGAGUAACGCGUGGAUAACCUGCCUUGCACAGGGGGAUAGCAGCUGGAAACGGCUGGUAAUACCGCAUAAGCGCACAGCAUCGCAUGAUGCAGUGUGAAAAACUCCGGUGGUACAAGAUGGACCCGCGUCUGAUUAGCUAGUUGGUGAGAUAACGGCCCACCAAGGCGACGAUCAGUAGCCGAUCUGAGAGGAUGAACGGCCACAUUGGGACUGAGACACGGCCCAGACUCC